GUUUUGAUAAUUUAAAUAAAAUAUUGAUCUUGUAAAUCAAAAAUAAGAUAAACUUUCAAAACU
Molecule: transfer RNA, 63 nt
Filed under: Margattea concava
Lineage: Eukaryota; Metazoa; Arthropoda; Insecta; Blattodea; Pseudophyllodromiidae
Description: tRNA-Thr
Source: RNAcentral